GACGAACGCUGGCGGCGUGCUUAACACAUGCAAGUCGAACGAACAGGCCCUGCUUUUGCGGGGUGCUCGAGUGGCGAACGGGUGAGUAACACGCGAGUAACCCGCCCUUGUCUUUGGGAUAACUUCUGGAAACUGGGGCUCAUACCGGAUAGGAGCUCCUGAUGCAUGGUGGGGGUUGGAAAGAUUCGGCGGUUGGGGCUGGACUGGAGGCUUAUCCGCUUGUUGGGGGGGUAGUUGCUUACCCGGGCUUUGACGGGUAGCCGGCCUGGGAGGUGGACCGGGCACAUGGGGACUGCGAGACGGACCAGACGCGUACGUGAGGCAGCAGGGGGGAGUAUUGCACAAUGGGGGGAAGCGUGAUGCAGCAACGUCGCGUGCGUGAUGAUGUCCUACGGGUUGAGAACCGCUGUCGCCUGUGACGAAGCGGGAGUGACGGUAAUGGGUAAAGAAGCACCGGCUAACUACGUG
Molecule: ribosomal RNA, 468 nt
Filed under: uncultured bacterium
Lineage: Bacteria
Description: partial 16S ribosomal RNA
Rfam family: Bacterial small subunit ribosomal RNA
Source: RNAcentral